Long non-coding RNA from Homalodisca vitripennis (glassy-winged sharpshooter), 1086 nucleotides. RefSeq lists it as uncharacterized. The transcript has 3 exons. Lineage: Eukaryota; Metazoa; Arthropoda; Insecta; Hemiptera; Cicadellidae. The record is from RefSeq and is a predicted model, not a curated record.
CCCGUCACUUUCACCUGUGCUCACUCCAGUGCUUGACUUCUCGUGCUUGUGACUGGUGCUCGUGACUUGCGUCAUGUACAGUGACAAAGUCUAGACUGACCUCCAACCAGAUGUGAAAAAACGCUACUACUCGCAAUUAUCACCUGGUAUUAUGGCUUCCAUCCUUUUCUACGUCUUAAUUACUCUACUCCUGGUUUCGUGUGGAAUUCAAGCCACAGAACGGCCACCAUUCUUCGCCAUCAUCGCUUCACCUCAAGAUAUGGACGAUUCAAAAGUCUUUCCUGACGGAACAGAACAUGGAAGGUCUGAUGAUUCCCAGAACCUACCAACCUCGUCUACAACUCCUGAUCCAAACAAAUUCCUGUUUAUUGCUCCUAAGAUUCGUUGCCGCAAAUGCUACAGGGUUGUUAAUGGAGAAUGCAGAAGGAUUGUAGGAUGCAGACUGAGGGAUCCAUAAAGUAAAUCUAUCUCGCCAUCCUCUCUUCAUCUCCUUCCAUCUUCUUACUGGUGUUGUUACUUUCGGACUCCAGUGCCUCACCUACGCUCUCCAGGAGAUAUCCCAGACAAGCAGCCUCUUAUGAACCCGACGACGGACCUCUCAUAUUCCCAGAUUCCGGAGAACGCUUUGCAGAGCAGCCUUUGAAAAUACCUGCAAGUGUUAUCCAAACCCUCCAAUAUGUCAUGAACAUGAACUUACUUGAUAUCGCCAUUCAUCAGUGUCUUUCAGGAUAAAGGAUGACCCCUAGUGGUUAUUGUCGAAGAAAUCGAAGUUAAUUAAUGGAUGUGAAUUUUCCACAUUGUUGAAGACUAUUCUACUUUAUUUAUUGGACAUUAAGUUUACUAUAUUUAAGACUUUUUUAUGUUAACUUUCAUGUAAAAUAGUAAAAGUAUUCACAUUUUAGAAAUUAUUACAUAAGUGUUUUGUACGAACACGGACAAACGGAAAAUACAUCUGGACAAGAAAGUUAUGCUUUGUAUAUUUAUCUUGAAAUAAAUAAAUUACCUAAUUAAUCUAUUCAUCAUUACAGUAGUUUAUAAUUUGUUAAAAACAAAAAACAUUCAAUAAAUGAUUUUGCAACAUCUCCA